Molecule: ribosomal RNA, 500 nt
Filed under: uncultured bacterium
Lineage: Bacteria
Description: bacterial SSU rRNA
Rfam family: Bacterial small subunit ribosomal RNA
Source: RNAcentral
UAGCCCGGCGAAAGCCGGAUUAAUACCGCAUACGACCUGUGGGUGAAAGCGGGGGAUCGCAAGACCUCGCGCUAUUGGAGCGGCCGAUAUCAGAUUAGCUUGUUGGUGGGGUAAAAGCCUACCAAGGCGACGAUCUGUAGCUGGUCUGAGAGGACGACCAGCCACACUGGGACUGAGACACGGCCCAGACUCCUACGGGAGGCAGCAGUGGGGAAUUUUGGACAAUGGGCGCAAGCCUGAUCCAGCCAUGCCGCGUGCGGGAAGAAGGCCUUCGGGUUGUAAACCGCUUUUGUCAGGGAAGAAACGGCCAUCGCCAAUACCGGUGGCUAAUGACGGUACCUGAAGAAUAAGCACCGGCUAACUACGUGCCAGCAGCCGCGGUAAUACGUAGGGUGCAAGCGUUAAUCGGAAUUACUGGGCGUAAAGCGUGCGCAGGCGGUCAUGCAAGACAGAUGUGAAAUCCCCCGGGCUCAACCUGGGAACUGCAUUUUGUGACUGCA